GAAAGACAAAUACCAUAGUAUUUCACUCAUAUGUGGAAUUUAAGAAAGAAAAAAAGACCGAAAAAAAAUCACUGUUUGGACACAGGAACCAUUUAAAAUUUUAUUUCCAUUGGAGGUAAAGACAGCCCAUUGUCCCCAUAAUAUUCCAAAGUCAUGGGCAGCCUGGGUGGCUCAGCGGUUUAGCACCGCCUUCGGCCCAGGGUGUAAUCAUGGAGACCUGGAAUCGAGUCCCAUAUUGGGCUCCCUGCAUGGAUCCUGCUUCUCCCUCUGCCUGUGUCUCUGCCUCUCUCUCUCUCUCUGUGACUAUCAUAAAUAAAUAAAAAUUAAAAAAAUAUAUAUAUAUAUUCCAAAGUCAUGAGCUACCCUAAAAACAUACCAACGAACAGUAUAAAUGUUUGCAAUUUUACCCUUGGCUAAGGUAUGAACUCAGGUAAGGAUAUAUGGCUCAGCCUAUUGGGCUGAAGUAUCCAAAAUGUAAGGUUGCUGUUUCAGUGAAUUCAAAAGGAGUUGCAAUAGGAUCCUCAGUAUGAUAUUUACCAUUUUCAUCCUUUAGAUAAGAAACAUCAGUAAACUAUGAAACACCUGCACAGAUUAGAGGAGUUUCCUGUAAAUUGUAACAAGGAUUCAAAGGUAAUCUGUCAACACUAAGCAGUCAUGAGGGGUUUCAUCUGGAUUCAAAUGUAGUCCUUAUUCUGAGAUCAGGUGCUUCGAGUGUCAAACCUGAGUUUGAGCAAACUGUUUUUCUUUGGACACUUUAUGUCCCUUUCAGGCCAAAAGUUUCAAUAGGUGGAUGCUUUUUUCCUAUGAAGAGGUUUGAGAAGGGGAGUAGAGAAGCAAAUCAUCUAUGUAUUAUAACAAGGUAGAGCCUGCAAAAAACUUUAUAUCAUCCAAAUCAGCUUUUAAGAUUCAUGAAAAGUAAAAAGGACUCUUUGUGAAACCCUGGGACUUUACUGUUCAGGUAUAUUUCCAUUCUUCUCCAAUGAAAGCAAAACAUGGGCUAUCCUCAUUAACUGGAAUGCUAAAAACAUAUUGUAUAAAUCAAUUACAGUGAAAAUUUUGCUUUCAGUGAGAAUGGAUGUUAAUGGCUAUGGGAGUUAGAUUAGCAGAAUGCCAAGAAACAACAAUGUUAUUUAUUGCUCAUAGAUCCUGGACAAACCUUCAUCCUUAGUUAUUGGGUGUUCUCAUAGGUAAAAUAGGGGUAUUGCAGGCACUAGUUCAGGGGAUAAUGAAGCCCCAAGUACUGUAAUAUUCUAUUAUGGACUUGAGGUCUCCUUGAGAGGCUUACGUAUUAGGUAUUAAUUAUGGGAGAGGUUUUAAUGGAUCUAUUUGAAUCUUGAUGGGAGGUGCACUGUGGAUUUUGCCAAUAUCGGUUAAAGCUUUUGCCCAUAAAAAGGACGGUAGCUCAGCCAAUAGAAAUAAAUAAAAGAUGUUGAAGGGUCAUUUAACUUCCCUGGUUGGGUAUUUUUAUUACUGUUGUCAAACUGUAAAAUUAUUUCUCCCUUUUGAGAAAAAUCUUGGCAUGGUACUUUUCUAAGAAAUCUCAGCCCAAUAACUAAGGAGAAAAAGGGUAUGUCCCAAAGGGCCUAGACAAAAGGGAAAAGAUUCAGAAACAGGAUCUUGUUGAGGUUUCUUAGAGACCCCCCACUAUUUGAACUGUUUUAGUUUCCUAAGGCAGGGGCUGCUCUGUAGCAGUGGGGUUAAGCACUGAGAGAGUAGCUCUGGUAUCAAUAAAGACACAUUUUUCAUUUCCAGUCUGGUUUCUCUGCAGCCAGUUAAGAAGGAGGAUUGAGAACAGCCCCUAUAAUUCCCUGGAGCUCUGUUACUGGGAAUUAAGAGGACAUUGGGAAGGCCAACUAGAAAGCUGAAGGCAAUGUUUUGGUUAUUUCCUGGGGUGUUUACGUUUUAAAGACGGACAAGACUUAUAAAUUCAAAGGACAGAGAAAGAAACUAAAUUUUCUCCUAAGAGUUUUAAGGGUCAUCUUUUAACUUGGACCUAAGCUGCCACCUCCAGCCAAGCAUCAGUGACCAACCAAACCGCCUGCAGGAGAGGCCAGCUGCAGUGACUACCGGCUUCCUUUCCCUGCCACUGCGCGCACACCCAGUCCUUGAUUCUUGUUACAGCAGCCCGAGAGGACUAAGGCACCAGUCGAUGCUGAUGCAGCUGAUCUCAGGACCACACUCUGAGAAGCACUGUAACAGAGCUUAGCAUGGAAUUUGUCCCAGUAGGUACUUUUAAUUUUUUUUUAAGAUUUUAUUUAUUUGAGAAAGAGAGAGCAUGCAUGAGAGAACAUGACAAGGGGUGGGAGGAAGAGGCAGAGGGAGAAGGAGAAGCAGACUCCCCACUGAUGAGGGAGCUAGACGUGGGACUUAAUUCCAGGACCCCAAGAUCAUGAUCUGAGGAGGAAGGCAGCCACUUAAUAACAGCCACCCAGGUGCCCUCUCAGUACAUACUUUUAAUUGGAACAUGAAUACUUAGGUGGUUUUCCAUUUAAAACCGGAUUUGUUUUCCAAGAAUUAAUUAUAGCUUGGUGGGAUGACACCUUCGGUUUAAAACUACACUUAGUUUCAGUGUACUGAAUUUCCAUGUACUGAAAUCAUUUUUGAGGCUAGCUGGAAUAAACAUCGUAAUGUAGGUGUCAGCCUGGAGCAGAUUGGUUACAAAUAGAAUGUAAAAAUAGCAGUGGGCUGUGUAGGCAGGGAGGUAAUACCCCUUUGCUCACCUAAUUCUCACAACAGACAGAGUCAACCAUUGUCAUCUCUAGUUUACAGACAAAGGGACACCAGAAAUUAAAUAACAGUUUUAUACAGAUAGUUAAGGCACCAAGCUAGGAUUUAAACUUAGGCAGUGUAGCUCCAAAGGCCACAAUCUUAAAUAUGCUAUUCACUCUCCAGCCCAUAGCUGAGGAGAGCAAGGCUCAGGCCAGUCACAUGCCUGGGAGCCCCAUCCCUCACCGCCCCUGAGCGAGAAUCAUCAAUUCAGAUGGAGGAACACAGCAUCCCAGGGCCAUUUUCAGCAACCACAGCAAUAUUAUUUUGGUAGGCGGUGAUUUAAGUUAGAUAACAAGACUGAAGUCUACUUUUCAGCGACGGAGAAAACAGUCACCAUUAGGGUGACACAGCCCAAGACUCCACCAUAAGCGUGUGCAGCAUAGGCCAGGAUGGCUUCCAGAGUCUCCAGGGGCCAUCCUUACCAUACUUUGAACAGAACCUUUCAGAGUCCCACUUAACACCGAUUGUCUGCCCCUUCUAUACUCGAGAGUGUUCAGCCUUUACUGGGGUCUUCCUGUGUGACAAGGCCCCCGCCUGCCCCACUGAGGAAGCAGCCCAGCCUACUUCAGGGAAAGUAAUAAUUACAAAAAGCUUCUUAACCUUUGAGCUGAAAAUUGUCUACUGUUACCCUAAUUGGCCCUGAUUUUUCUUUGGGGAGACCUCCAGAACAACUGUGAUAGCUUUUCUGCAAGGUCCUCUUCAAGUUUUGAAGAUGAACAACCAAUAUUCCCUCCUCUUCUGCUUCCCAAAUCUUUCUGUUUCUGGACUAAAUAAAUCAAAUUCCUUCAAUUGUUCCUCAUAUAACUUGGUUUCUGUACUUUUUACCAUCCCACCUGUAACCCUUUCUGAUGAGCUUUAAGAUGUGGUGCACAGCUAAUGUGUACAUUCCAGGUCAGGCAUGAUCUGGCCAAUGCAGCAUAUGGCAAAAUCAUUACCUCCUAUGAGCUGACAUGCCUUAGUGCUUUCUGGGCAGUGCUCUACCUCUUGGCUCAUACUAAAUUCGUGACCAGCUAAAAAUCCUUGCUUAUGUCUGUUUGACAGAAAGUAUUUCUCAACCAGGUAUCUUUCAUCUUUUACCCAUGCAGUCAAUUGUUUGUUUAAUGAAAAAAGGACUACAUUCAUCUAUUGAAAUCCUAUCUUACUGGAGCCAGUCCAUCUUGCAUGCAGAGAUGCAGAGACUCGUGUACCCCAAUUAGAGAAGCUUAGGAAAAAAGCUGACAACCCUUUAGCCUAACAUGUUAAAAUGGCUUCUGUCUGCAAGCAUGAACAGCACUGAAAAGGUGUCCAACUACCUGCUGCCAAAUAGCAGGGACCACCAGGGACAGACGUGUUCCUGGAUCUGCUGCUGCUGUGGGAGCUGUAGUUAGGGCCACUUUGCCACUCUUUGCUUUUCACGUCUCUGGUUUUUUAAUCCAAAGGCAGCCAGAAUAAACUUCGAGAAAACACUAGGAUGCAAAAUCUUUUUGUAGAAUUUACAGAAAUGCCUCUGACAGUCUGAAAAUGUUUCUUUGAUGGUUUAUGUGUACCUCAGGGGGCUGUUUUUAAAGCUUUGAGAAUGCAGCAUCUUAUUUUGAAUGAAGACCAAUUCCUCAGAAAUAAUUGGGCUUUUAUCUGAUAUAAGAUCAAAUGUGUAGAAAACAAUUUAUAACUUAUAGUUUGCCUUUACUAAGCAAUCAGAAUAUUUUGCAGUGUUAUACCAUACCGUUUUUGUUUCAAAACCAAUUUUAAGUAGUUGAAAAUUUUGAUUAAAAUAAUAAGU
Molecule: long non-coding RNA, 4528 nt
Organism: Canis lupus familiaris (dog)
Lineage: Eukaryota; Metazoa; Chordata; Mammalia; Carnivora; Canidae
Exons: 4
Source: RefSeq, a predicted model, not a curated record